This 638-nucleotide ribosomal RNA is filed under the name uncultured bacterium. RNAcentral describes it as "bacterial SSU rRNA". It matches the Rfam family "Bacterial small subunit ribosomal RNA", at positions 1 to 654 of the family's 1533-position model. The record is from RNAcentral.
AGUAGUUUGAUCAUGGCUCAGGAUGAACGCUAGCGGCAGGCUUAAUACAUGCAAGUCAAGGGGGUAGCAAUACAACCGGCGCACGGGUGAGUAACGCGUACACAACAUACCAUAUACUGGGGUAUAGCUUUGGGACUCUGAAGGUAAUCCCCCAUAACAUUGCGAGAGGGCAUCUGAUUGCAAUUAAAGUUUCGGCGGUAUAUGAUUGGUGUGCGUUUGAUUAGCUAGUUGGUAGGGUAACGGCCUACCAAGGCGACGAUCAACUAGCUGGCGUGAGAGCGCGACCAGCCACACUGGAACUGAGACACGGUCCAGACUCCUACGGGAGGCAGCAGUAGGGAAUAUUGGACAAUGGAGGAAACUCUGAUCCAGCCAUGCCGCGUGAUAGAUGAAGGCCCUCUGGGUUGUAAAUAUCUUUUAUCUGGGAAGAAACAAUCUUAUUCUUAAGAUCUUGACGGUACCAGAGGAAUAAGCACCGGCUAACUCCGUGCCAGCAGCCGCGGUAAUACGGAGGGUGCAAGCGUUAUCCGGAUUCACUGGGUUUAAAGGGUGCGUAGGCGGGCUGAUAAGUCCAGUGGUGAAAGCUCCGAGCUUAACUUGGAAACUGCCAUUGAUACUGCCAGUCUUGAAUGUCGUAC